UUCAACUCAUUUAUAUUAGUUAAAAUAUGGAGAAAAAUUUUGUUAUAUCAGCUAUCAUUGAUGGUUAGAAGCCAACUAUCCAUUUUGAUUUCAAAAGUAUCUAUUUGAUGAUAGUAUAGAGUUGCAAUCUGCCCCUAUUCUAUCAUCUGAAAAUAAAGUUCUUAAAUAAAUACAUGACAUCAAUUGCAUAUUUGGUGACAUUUUUAACUAUUCUAGGAGAGG
RNAcentral lists this long non-coding RNA (222 nucleotides) under Elaeis guineensis (African oil palm). Its description in RNAcentral is "long non-coding RNA (EGUI_LNC053630)". Lineage: Eukaryota; Viridiplantae; Streptophyta; Magnoliopsida; Arecales; Arecaceae. The record is from RNAcentral.